UGGGGGAUAUUGCACAAUGGGCGAAAGCCUGAUGCAGCGACGCCGCGUGGGGGAUGAAGGCCUUCGGGUUGUAAACUUCUUUUGCUCUGAACAAGGCGCACCAUGGGGUGUGUUGAGUGUAGGGGUUGAUUAGCGCCGGCUAACUACGUGCCAGCAGCCGCGGUAAUACGUAGGGCGCGAGCGUUGUCCGGAAUUAUUGGGCGUGAAGGGCUUGUAGGUGGCUGGUUGCGUCUGUCGUGAAAGCUCAUGGCUUAACUGUGGGUUUGCGGUGGGUACGGGCUGGCUUGAGUGCAGUAGGGGAGGCUGGAAUUCCUGGUGUAGCGGUGGAAUGCGCAGAUAUCAGGAGGAAUACCGGUGGCGAAGGCGGGUCUCUGGGCUGUUACUGACACUGAGGAGCGAAAGCAUGGGGAGCGAACAGG
This 419-nucleotide ribosomal RNA is filed under the name bacterium. Its description in RNAcentral is "partial 16S ribosomal RNA". It matches the Rfam family "Bacterial small subunit ribosomal RNA", at positions 355 to 776 of the family's 1533-position model. The record is from RNAcentral.